Molecule: small nucleolar RNA, 123 nt
Organism: Cervus hanglu yarkandensis (Yarkand deer)
Lineage: Eukaryota; Metazoa; Chordata; Mammalia; Artiodactyla; Cervidae
Source: Ensembl
AGCAGUUGUGUUUGUUUUUAAUUUGUGGACAAAGACUUACAGAUAAGUGCAAAAAUAAAUCAUUUUUUGCAGCCCAGAAUUCAUUGUUCAGUAUGAGUUUUGAUACAGAUAAAAAGGAACAAU